AGUACCUCAAUUUCUUUGAUGCUAAUGAUGACAAUCUGACUUUUGAUCCUUCUGAACUUGGGUGCGAAAAUGCUGUUUCCGAUCAAGCUUCUCUACCUGAGAAGGUAAAUGUAAAUAUUCACUUAAAUAUUUCACUACCUUGUACUUGUUGAUUGGGUUUUGGACCGCACAGAGAAUUAAAUAAUUGCCUUGCAAUAGGAUGUAAAUGGAGGAACUGAGGAAGUGCCA
RNAcentral lists this unclassified non-coding RNA (228 nucleotides) under Hevea brasiliensis (rubber tree). The record is from RNAcentral. Lineage: Eukaryota; Viridiplantae; Streptophyta; Magnoliopsida; Malpighiales; Euphorbiaceae.